CACUACAACAAUUUAGGCUUUAUACGACACUUUUUUUACCUGACUGUUCAAUAACCGUCGUAUAAAAAGGAUUUUUGACGCUUUUUUAAUCAAUUUUGACACUAAAAAACCGUCGUGUAAGAGAAUAUUGUUGACGUUUUUUAAACCAAUUAUGACUCAUAAAAACCGUCAGAAUAGAAAGUCUAAUUUAAAUAUUUAAUUAACUAAUAUUAAAUAUGAACCAGAUUUAAGUUAAUAAAAAAAGUCUCUCACAUUUUUUUUCUCUUAAUACUUUCUCUCUCCCGUCAUUUAGAAAUGCUAGGGCUUUUCUUCGAUCCUGCUACGCCACCGCCACCGCAACCGGCUCCGUCACCCUCACCAUCACCGGCACCACCAUCGUUACGACCACCGGUCCGCCUCCGCCGUCACAUUGACGUUUUACAUUGCUAAUUAGGUUUUAAGUUUCUCGUCUUAAUUUCUUUUCACAUUCGAGUUUAGUCGCGAUUUGAUUGUCAAAUUUGUAUCCAUCCGACUUCACCAGACACUGAAUUUUCUCAAUCGCGAUUUGAUAUCCGAUUCUAGGUGAACACUUUUCUCCUUCCAUCUUAUAUUUUAUGUUUUGGUUAAUUUUCAGUAAUCCUAGUUUUGUGAAUAAAUGAGUUUGAAGUAAACUUCAAUUAGGUCGCUUUUCACUGAACUUUUAUUUCAAUGAGUGCGCUGCUUGUAGAAUGGAUGAAUGUAUGAAGCAUUCAUUUGAUACUUGGGUAAUUGAAAAUGUGAUAGCUAGCUGGUUGGGUUUCUGAGAAAAUGACAAAAUUAUGAAAUCUCGAUCUGAAUGACUUAGUUUUAGCCUCUCUUUUCUUGUCCUUAUUGCUAGAAUUUAAUUUCUAAAACAGUUUUUGGGGAUUGGAGAUAUUGUAGAAUCACUAAUCAGCUACUGGUAUACUUUUCAGUUAUCUUUAUUCCAUUCUGAUUUUAAUGGAGGUUAUUUUUCUUCUUAAAAUGCCUCGGUUGGGAGAUUUCACCUGGCUCUCUUUUCAGGUUAUUGACACCAACUUAGAUUAUUGGAAACUGGAUCCUCUCGGGUAUACUUUGGUUAUAUUCCAUCCCUUUCUUCUCUUUUUUGUGUUUGUGCGAAGUGUUUGAGUUAGUUCCCUUGCUCUACCUUUUAUAUCUCUCUCACUGACUAACUUCCCUGCAAAAGCAUCACGAAGGGCUGGAUAUGGAAGGUUACCUAGUAUUCUCUUGCUUUACCCACUAGGGAAUUGGCCACACAGGGGUACGCAACUUAAGGAGGCACUACAACUGCAACUAGACCUUCAAAAUGAGUCUUUAUGAGCAACUAGAGGUUAUUCAUUGUAGCUGAGGUGGACGAUAAAAUUUUAUCAUACUUCCAGGUAUCAUUAUUGCUUUCAACCCAAUUUCCAGUUCUGUUUUUGUUCUCACAGGGUUAUGAACCAUGGAAAAUGCAUACAAUAGAGAAUGCCUUUCAGGAGAAUCCAGCAGUAGUUGCUGAUAAACUUUCAUAUUCAAAUAAUUCUCUGAGUAAGGUCUUGAUUGGAUGAUUCAAGAAUUCUGGCCUUGCAUAGACUUUAGAAGUGAAUGUAAAUUCAGAUGUAUAGACUUUAGAAGUGAAUGUAAGUGUCGUUUUAAACAUAAAUUUCAUGAAGUUUGGUUUUACAUACUUUUGGAAAACAAGAAUUCAUGUAUUUGGGGAAUCUUAGUGAUUUUUGGCAUCUGUAUAUGUUCUCGUUGGGAAAUUAUAAUAAUUUUUGGCAUGCAGCUACAUUUUUUAA
Non-coding RNA from Erythranthe guttata (spotted monkey flower), 1775 nucleotides. The record is from RefSeq and is a predicted model, not a curated record. NCBI's taxonomy places the organism in Eukaryota, Viridiplantae, Streptophyta, Magnoliopsida, Lamiales, Phrymaceae.